Molecule: ribosomal RNA, 2274 nt
Filed under: gut metagenome
Description: bacterial LSU rRNA
Rfam family: Bacterial large subunit ribosomal RNA
Source: RNAcentral
CUGAGUAGCGGCGAGCGAAAGGGAAAGAGCCCAAACCGAUCUUAGGAUCGGGGUAGUAGGAUCAUCGAGAAAUCUGACAGAGGAUCAUAGAGGAAUCACAUGGGAAGGUGAGCGAGAGAGGGUGAGAGCCCCGUACUCGAAAUGAGAGACUGGAGAGAGAUGACACCUGAGUAGGGCGGGACACGAGAAAUCCUGUCUGAAUCAGCCGGGACCAUCCGGCAAGGCUAAAUACGAGAGAGUGACCGAUAGUGAACCAGUACCGUGAGGGAAAGGUGAAAAGAACCCCGGGAGGGGAGUGAAAGAGAACCUGAAACCAUAUGCCUACAAGAAGUCAGAGCCCGUUAAAGGGUGAUGGCGUGCCUUUUGUAGAAUGAACCGGCGAGUUACUGUAUGGAGCGAGGUUAAGCAGGAUAUGCGGAGCCGAAGCGAAAGCGAGUCUUAAGAGGGCGAGAGUUGCAUGCAGUAGACCCGAAACCGGGUGAUCUAGCCAUGACCAGGUUGAAGUUGGGGUAAAACCCGAUGGAGGACCGAACCGACCCCCGUUGAAACGUUGGCGGAUGAGUUGUGGCUAGGGGUGAAAUUCCAAUCGAACCCGGAGAUAGCUGGUUCUCCCCGAAAUAGCUUUAGGGCUAGCGUCGAGGUAAGUUGCGUGAAGGUAGAGCACUGAAUAUGUGAUGGCCCCAUCUCGGGGUACUGAGCAUAAUCAAACUGCGAAUGUCACGCCAACAUGCUCGGCAGUCAGACAGCGGGUGAUAAGGUCCGUUGUCAAGAGGGAAACAGCCCAGACCAUCAGCUAAGGUCCCAAAAUGUAUGCUAAGUGGAAAAGGAUGUGGAGAUGUACAGACAACUAGGAGGUUGGCUCAGAAGCAGCCAUCCUUUAAAGAGUGCGUAACAGCUCACUAGUCGAAUGACUCUGCGCCGAUAAUUUACCGGGGCUAAGCAUACUACCGAAGCUAUGGAUCCCAAGGGAUGGUAGGGGAGCGUUCCAUGAACGGAGAAGUACGACCGAAAGGACGUGUGGAGAUCAUGGAAGAGAGAAUGCCGGUGUGAGUAGCGGAACGUGGGUGAGAAUCCCACGCACCGAAAACCCAAGGUUUCCAGAGGAAGGUUCGUCCGCUCUGGGUAAGUCGGGACCUAAGGCGAGGCCGAAAGGCGUAGUCGAUGGACAACAGGUAGAGAUUCCUGUACCCGUAUAUAUGUGAAGGAAUGACGGAGAGAGGAAGCUGCAGCCAGCGGCUGGAAGAGCUGGUGCAAGCGAGAUAUCGGGAUGGCAGGCAAAUCCACCAUCCGAAACGAGAAGGCGUGAAGCGUACGGAAAGCUACGGCGAGUACGGAAGGCAGUGGAGGAACUUCCAAGAAAAGUUUCUAACGUAAAGUAUAUAUGGCCCGUACCGAAAAUGGACACACAUGGGUGAGGAGAGAAUCCUAAGGUGAGCGAGAGAACUAUAGCUAAGGAACUCUGCAAAAUGACUCCGUAACUUAGGGAGAAGGAGUGCUCAUAGAGAUAUGAGCCGCAGUGAAACGGCCCAAGCGACUGUUUACCAAAAACACAGCUCUCUGCUAAGCCGCAAGGCGAAGUAUAGGGGGUGACGCCUGCCCGGUGCUGGAAGGUUAAGGGGAGGGGUUAACGCAAGUGAAGCCCUGAACUGAAGCCCCAGUAAACGGCGGCCGUAACUAUAACGGUCCUAAGGUAGCGAAAUUCCUUGUCAGGUAAGUUCUGACCCGCACGAAAGGCGUAACGAUUUGGGCGCUGUCUCAGCUGUAGACUCGGUGAAGUCUUAGUACCUGUGAAGAUGCAGGUUACCCGCGACUAGACGGAAAGACCCCAUGGAGCUUCACUGCAGGUUGAUAUUGGGAUUUGAUGCAGCAUGUACAGGAUAGGUAGGAGGCAAAGAGAUGGAUACGCCAGUAUUCAAGGAGCCGCUGUUGGGAUACUACCCCUGUUGUAUUGGAUUUCUAACCGGACGACGUAGAGCCGUUGACGGGACAGUGUCAGUCGGGCAGUUUGACUGGGGCGGUCGCCUCCCAAAGAGUAACGGAGGCGCCCAAAGAUACCCUCAGCUUGGAUGGAAACCAAGCGCAGAGUGCAAAGGCAAAAGGGUGUUUGACUGCGAGACCCACAAGUCGAGCAGGGACGAAAGUCGGGCUUAGUGAUCCGGCGGUGCUGAAUGGAAAGGCCGUCGCUCAACGGAUAAAAGCUACCCUGGGGAUAACAGGCUGAUCUCCCCCAAGAGUUCACAUCGACGGGGAGGUUUGGCACCUCGAUGUCGGCUC